CGACGAAUCUUCCGCAAUGGGCGAAAGCCUGACGGAGCGACGCCGCGUGUGGGAUGAAGCGGCUUUGCCGUGUAAACCACUGUCAGGAAAUAGAAACACUGAUCAUUUCCAAAGGAAGGGGCGACUAACUCUGUGCCAGCAGUCGCGGUAAUACAGAGGCCCCGAGCGUUAGUCGGAAUUACUGGGCUUAAAGGGUGCGUAGGCGGACCGUUAAGUGUCGUGUGAAAGCCUGCGGCUUAACCGCAGAACCGCACGGCAAACUGGCGGUCUUGAGGAAGGUAGAGGCGGGCAGAACGGUUGGUGGAGCGGUGGAAUGCGUAGAUAUCAACCGGAAUGCCGAAGGUGAAGACAGCCCGCUGGGCCUUUCCUGACGCUGAGGCACGAAAGCGUGGGGAGCAAA
Molecule: ribosomal RNA, 400 nt
Filed under: uncultured bacterium
Lineage: Bacteria
Description: bacterial SSU rRNA
Rfam family: Bacterial small subunit ribosomal RNA
Source: RNAcentral